UCAAGUUCCACCAGUACCAGGUGGUGGGCCGCCACCUGCCCACUGCCGCGGAUGCCAACCCCACCGUCUACCGCAUGAAGGUGUGGGCCGAGGAUGACGUCAAGGCCAAGAGCAAGUUCUGGUGAGCAGCGGCGGGACAGAGGAGGGGGAAAUGGUGCAGCGAAAUGGAGCUUGCGACGGCGCAGCAGCCUGGGGGCGUUUGGGUCGCUAUAACUGAGUGCUUAGAGCUUCAAGUAUUACCUGAAACUGGUUUAGGCAUUCCAGGUGUUGGUAUGGGCACUCCUUGGGCUUGACGGCUGAAAUCGGCGGGGCCUGCUCUCUCGUUCAGGUACUUCCUGAGGAAGCUUCGCCGUGUGAAGAAGGCCAACGGUCAGAUCAUUGCUUGCAACGAGGUGAGCACUUGCGCCGGCUGGUGAACUCGGCGACUGGGGCCGGCGGGGAGUGAGUUGAGACACGGCCUAGACUUCAAACGGUGCAUAAAAGUGAAACUACGAGGGGCUGGACUGGUGGGUGUCUCUGUGGUUAGGUCAGAGGUGAGCAUCUCGGCGCAGCGAUGUGGAGUUUGCGGAGCAGCCGGAGCCAGAGCGACCACAGAUGGCGCGCCAUAGCUGCAGAACAGCGGCGUGCGUCUACGCAUGUAAGGGCGCCCACGCUGGCGGCUGGACUGCUGGCAGUGCGCCGCAGCCCCUCAGGCGCUGCAGCAGCACCUUCCGUGGCCGGCGCAGGUGCUCCUCGGAUUGUGCAGCUCCGGCGCGCGCAGGGGGAGCUGUCGCAGUCUGCGUCGUGACUGUGGAUGCUGGCAGCCGGGCAAGGGGCGGAGCAGGGACUGGGGCUAUAUGGGGCAGGGUCAGCCGCGUGCGCAGCUGGGCCACAGCAGCUUGUUCGAGCACACGGAGGCAUGCGCAGCGAGGGGGCGCGACCUGCAACGGCGUGCUCGUCAGGAGCACGGAACUUGCCCAGUCCUUGCAGCGGCGGUAGCAGCUGCGGGGGCUGGGCGCCGGCGCCAUGUGCCAGCGGAGCCUGGCGGCUGGAGCCUGCAUCAGCGCUGCAGGCAGCCACUCGUGGCGACGACCGCCGCUGCAGCUGUGCAGCCUCAGGGUGUGGAGACAGGCGCGGCAGCUGCUGCGUUGCUGCCGGCGGCUUGUCAGCGCGCCGCGGCGUUGGCGCCAGCGCUCGAUACACUGGCCUCCACCGGGCGUGCCGGCGCAGUGGCGUCUUGAGGGCGGCGUGCUAUCAGCUACAGCUCGCAUCAGCGCGCGGCUUGGCAACGGCGCCAGCGCUCAGCCUACACGAUGUAUCGGCGGGGUGCUGCAUGUGCGUGCAAGCCAAGCUGUCAGUUUUCGACCGAUAGGGACCAGUCGGGGCGGAAGUUCCACCUGCAGGGCCGAGAGCAGGGCGGCGCGGAGGGAAGCACAGAAGCACAGCUCGGCGCAGCCUGCAGCAGCACAUUCGCACAUUCAGUUGUGCGAGCGGGAUUGGACGGGUUUAGAGCGUCAGCCGGCAGCGAAGGUCGCGAGCAGAGGCAGCAGACCGGCCGGGCACGCGGGCGGCAUGCGGACACUUCAAAAGCGGGCUAGGCAGACGAGUGGGGUGUGUUUUUUGGUGGUGGAAGUGGCUGGAUGCCGAAGAGUGCAUAAUUGUUCUUGUUCUUGGGGGCGGAGUUGAUGUGCAUGCCCAGUGGCACGGAGUGCUCUACGGGCAAGGUGCGCGUGGGCAACUCUGCGUGCGUCACCCGACCGUGCUUGCCUUGCAGUGCAGUGCCGCUUCGAGGCGCCGCGUGCCACAUCCUGUCUCCUGCACGCAUGACGCUUCCGCCUGCCCUGCCCGCGCCAACCCGCCGCAUCCUCGCCCCUGCCUUACGCACGCGCAGAUCUUCGAGCGCAAGCCCACCCUGGCCAAGAACUACGGCAUCUGGGUUCGCUACCAGUCGCGCACGGGCGUGCACAACAUGUACAAGGAGUACCGCGACGUGACCCUGAACGGCUCCGUCUCCCAGAUGUACCAGGAGAUGGCCUCGCGCCACCGCGUGCGCCCCUCGUCCAUCCAGAUCAUCAAGACCGCCACCGUGGACUACCACAGCUGCAAGCGUGCCAACACCAAGCAGUUCCACAACGAGAAGAUCAG
RNAcentral lists this long non-coding RNA (2124 nucleotides) under Chlamydomonas reinhardtii. RNAcentral describes it as "long non-coding RNA (CREI_LNC000060)". Lineage: Eukaryota; Viridiplantae; Chlorophyta; Chlorophyceae; Chlamydomonadales; Chlamydomonadaceae. The record is from RNAcentral.